CGAGCCGGGCGGACGGCCGCGUGGAGGUCCUUGUGGACCUUCCCGAGGAACGUCCGGGCUCCACAGGGCAAGGUGGUGGCUAACGGCCACCCGGGGUGACCCGCGGGACAGUGCCACAGAAAACAGACCGCCUUGGGCCUCGGUCCUCGGUAAGGGUGAAACGGUGGUGUAAGAGACCACCAGCGCCUGAGGUGACUCAGGCGGCUAGGUAAACCCCACCUGGAGCAAGGUCAAAAGGAAACACCUCGGUGUUUCUGCGCGGACGAUCGAGGGCUGCCCGCCCGAGUCCGCGGGUAGACCGCACGAGACCGGCGGCAACGCCGGUCCUAGAUGGAUGGCCGUCUCCCCGGCCGCCGCGAGGCGACCGGGCGACAGAACCCGGCGUACAGCCCGACUCGUCUG
RNAcentral lists this RNase P RNA (402 nucleotides) under Streptomyces sp. WAC00263. RNAcentral describes it as "RNase P RNA component class A". It matches the Rfam family "Bacterial RNase P class A". Rfam says of the family: Ribonuclease P (RNase P) is a ubiquitous endoribonuclease, found in archaea, bacteria and eukarya as well as chloroplasts and mitochondria. Its best characterised activity is the generation of mature 5'-ends of tRNAs by cleaving the 5'-leader elements of precursor-tRNAs. The record is from RNAcentral. Lineage: Bacteria; Bacillati; Actinomycetota; Actinomycetes; Kitasatosporales; Streptomycetaceae.